CCUAUGUGAGUCAGAAUGGCAGCGAGGAAAGCAAAGGAAAGGAAAACUGUCAUUGUACUGCCAGCUCUCUCCUUCUGUGCCUCUCGCAAAAACUUGCUCCUUUCUUCUGACCUUUAAACUAGUCUUUAUUUUAGGGUUCAAGAAUAUCAACAGGGCUAUGGCAGUGGCAGCUAUGUCUAAAAGGAAGCACUUGGCUGUAAUCCCUGGAGGCAGAGCCAAGACCCCUUCACUCAACUAUGUAAGCAUCAAAGGUAUCCACAACAGAUGGAAAUACCACAGGGGGCUAAAACAGAAAAACAAGAAGAUGGAGAAUAUCACCUGGUGACUGAUGGCACUUCAUGAGUACAUGUGAAAUAUCCACUGGUACCUCUCAAACAAAUUGGAAAGACUGAAAAGAGAUGGAGAUACUGCAGUGGAUGGGGUGAGGAAGAUACUGCGGUGGGUGGAGAAAUAUAGAAAUCUUGAUUCCUAGAUGAGAAAAAAUGCAAAGGUCUCUCUAUCUCAACUUUUACAACUUCAGAUAGAACACAUAUUUUACAUCUUCUCAGAAACUCAGAAAGAAUAUGAUUGGAAAUGAAUGGCUGGAAUCACCAUGUGAUGAAUCAUGUACCAAAUGGCACGUGGAUGGUGACUAAUCCUUGAAGCCAAAGCUGAUAAAUGACUUCCAACUGAACAGUGACUGGAAGAUACAAGACUUUCUGUGAUUCUGUUAUUCUGUCUGUGAUUAGAGAGUUGUGACAACCUCUGUUCAUCAGAGGUUGGAUGAACUGUUCUGUAGUGGUUAAGGUGGGAGGCAAAUUGCUUUUUUGUUUUUGCUUAUUUCCUGUUUAUGCUAUUUAACAAAAUUGAAUCACAUUGGAUAAGACAUUUAAUUAUUCUAAGCUUAAUUUCCUUACCCAGAAAAUGAGGAUAAUAAUACAGUAUCACUUUUAUAAGGGAGAUGUGAAGAUUAAACCUAAUAAUGGAUAUAAAGUACUCAACACAUGUCUAGAGCAUAUCAAGUGCUCCUAAUGUUGUUACUGUUUCUAAAUUUGAAUUUUCUUCCUUGUGCUCAAAAAUGAUCCUUUUAAACUUGUUUUGUUGAAUGUUAUGAUUACAUUUACCUAACUCCAUUCCCUAUAAUUUCAUCUUCUCCAUUGUUUUAAAUUGCUUCUGAACCUCUUAAAAAUCACAUUUAAGUGAUUCAUAUGGGACGGUGACCACAUUCACAACACAUCAACAGCUUUGGUUUCCUUGAGGGCAGGGACUAAUGUUUUCUUCCUCACUGCUGCAUCAUCACCACCUGGAACAGUGAGUGCCUGACACAUAACUGGUGUUCAAAAAAUAUUUGUUGAAUGAAUGAAACGAGUUGGAAAUAAUUUAGUAAGACUAUACUAUUCUACAGAGACAUCUAGUAGGGAAGACACACAUAUAAACCAGUCACUUUGUAGUGUGAUGAGAAGUUUAUUCCCUGGGAACCAUGGGAGCAAUGUGGAUGCCAUUUAAGGCCUCAUCACUAAGACUUGUUAUCAGAUUCAUUUCCAGCCAAUUCAACUAGAUGACCUUAUUUUCAUGACUUCUUUUAUGACUAGACUUGUGGCAUAUAUCACUCCAUUCUGUUUCCUAGGAUAAGGAGAUAAAGCAGCAAGUGUUUGCCUCUGAUAAAAUGAAAAAGAACUGAAAAACUCUACUAUUAAUCUUAUAAGAAAUAUAUAGACUGGCAUGACUUGUACAUAAGCAAAGGAAAUCUUUUUUUCUCUAUUUUUUCUUCAAUACUAAUUUUGCUUCCCCUUGGGCUCUAAUCAGAUUAGGAAUUUGGCAAUUAAAUUAGAAAAUAAAUUCUAGUGGUAUAUAAAACUUGUAAAAAUAGAAUGGCUUAAUCAGCCUCUUCAAACAUUAUAGGCAAAGGCCCAUCCUUUCAAUGUUAACCUUAAAUGAAGUACCCAUUAAAUCUGAAUUGUUUUUCUUUUUCGUUGAAUAUGUGCCUUGAUUCUUUCUUCUUUAUCCUCCUCUUACAGUUAGUAAAAAUCUUGAAAGAGACAAUUGGGGAAAAUAAAGAAAGGCUGGAUUACCACCAGUAAUAACUGAAAAAUUGUAAAAGAUAGUCAUAACCAUUUUAUUCUCUAUAGGUAAGUAUUCCUUUUACUUGUGAUAUAUGCAGAUGGAUCAUUUUUAAUUCCAGAGGCACAAAACAACCUGAAUAUUUAGCAAAAUGUGUCCCGAAUUUGUAUCACAUUCUCCCUCAGUGUAUUUAUCAAAAAAGCAUACAUGCCCUUUGUACUAUUAUUUACCUAAUAGUUUCCUUAACUCAAAUUUUAAGUUU
Long non-coding RNA from Prionailurus viverrinus (fishing cat), 2302 nucleotides. RefSeq lists it as uncharacterized. The transcript is spliced from 3 exons. The record is from RefSeq and is a predicted model, not a curated record. NCBI's taxonomy places the organism in Eukaryota, Metazoa, Chordata, Mammalia, Carnivora, Felidae.